GGCAAACAAACACAACGUCACAAAAGGACAACACUGCAUGUUCUUUCCGUCCGUCACUUGGUCAUACGACGCUCUCUCUAGCUCGCAGAGAGCGUCUUCCUUCUCUCUCUCUCCACCCCUCACUGAAAGACAAGCAGGCACAUAAAUACACACUUCCUGAUUGGGUCAGAUUGCAGACACCUGUCCGCAAUCAGACCCCAUCACCCCAGCAGACCCGGUGCUCCAUGCUCCCCCUGCAGGCCAGACGCCGCCCCACCUCCACAUACCCCCACCGCACGACACAGGCCGGGGACCCAUCCGGCCGUAAACCUACUCCCCCCCCCCCCGGGACGGGAGAGGAAGUCUGCCACGACCAUCUGCGCCCCCGGCCUGUGGGCCACCCGGAAAUUGAACGGCUGCAACGCGAGGUACCACCGGGUGAUCCUGGCGUUGGCAUCCUUCAUCCGGUGGAGCCACUGGAGGGGGGGCGUGGUCGGAGUAGAGGGUGAACUGGCGACCCAGCAGGUAGUAGCGAAGGGCACCGACCGCCCACCGGAUGGCGAGACACUCCUUCUCUACCGUGCUGUACCGACCCUCGCGGCCCGACAGCUUGCGGCUCAGGUACAGCACCGGACGGUCGGUCCCCUCAACCUGCUGGGUCAGGACCGCGCCCAACCCCCUAUCCGACGCGUCUGCCUGGACGGAGAAAGGGAGAGCAAAAUUAGGAGCACACAGGACUGCUUCCCCACAGAGGGCUGUUUUAAUAGCCUCAAACGACACCUGGCAUGGCUGCGACCACUGGACGGUAUCUGGGGCCCUCUUCCGGGUGAGGUCGGUCAAGGGGCUGGCCAGGUCGGAGAAGUUCGGCACGAACUGCCGAUAGUAACCCGCCAGCCCCAGGUACCGCCUCACCUCCUUCUUGGUCCUGGGUCGAGGGGAGGCGGCGACCGCUGCGGUCUUACCGACCUGCGGCCGGACCUUCCCCCGCCCCAGGUGGAACCCCAGAUACUGAAUCUCCCUCCGCCCGAUCACACACUUCUUCGGGUUGGCCGUGAGCCCCGCCCGUCUCAGCGACUGAAGGACGGCCGCCACCUG
RNAcentral lists this long non-coding RNA (1074 nucleotides) under Gadus morhua (Atlantic cod). RNAcentral describes it as "lncRNA (ENSGMOG00000033689.1)". The record is from RNAcentral. Lineage: Eukaryota; Metazoa; Chordata; Actinopteri; Gadiformes; Gadidae.